Molecule: ribosomal RNA, 253 nt
Filed under: uncultured bacterium
Lineage: Bacteria
Description: partial 16S ribosomal RNA
Rfam family: Bacterial small subunit ribosomal RNA
Source: RNAcentral
UACAGAGGGGGCAAGCGUUGUUCGGAUUUACUGGGCGUAAAGGGCGCGCAGGCGGCGGAUCAAGUCAGACGUGAAAGCCCCGGGCUUAACCUGGGAACUGCGUUUGGGACUGAUUUGCUAGAGAUCGGGAGAGGAGAGUGGAAUUCCCAGUGUAGAGGUGAAAUUCGUAGAUAUUGGGAAGAACACCGGUGGCGAAGGCGGCUCUCUGGACCGAUACUGACGCUUAGGCGCGAAAGCGUGGGGAGCAAACAGG